GAAAUGCGAUACGUAAUGUGAAUUGCAGAAUUCAGUGAAUCAUCGAAUCUUUGAACGCACAUUGCGCCCCCGGGUAUUCCCGGGGGCAUGCCUGUUCGAGCGUCAUUUCAACCCUCAAGCCCAGCUUGGUCUUGGGCCGCGCCGGGAACGGCCGGCCUUAAAGCUCGUGGCGGCGCCGCCGGGCUCUACGCGUAGUACUGACAUCUCGCGUGUGGGCUCCGGCGGACGCUGGCCAGCAACCCCCAACUCAUACUGGUUGACCUCGGAUCAGGUAGGGAUACCCGCUGAACUUAA
RNAcentral lists this unclassified non-coding RNA (294 nucleotides) under uncultured Ascomycota. RNAcentral describes it as "sequence contains ITS1". The stretch from base 1 to 105 matches the Rfam family "5.8S ribosomal RNA", at positions 50 to 154 of the family's 154-position model. The record is from RNAcentral. Lineage: Eukaryota; Fungi; Ascomycota.